GAUGAAGAACGUAGCGAAAUGCGAUAAGUAAUGUGAAUUGCAGAAUUCAGUGAAUCAUCGAGUCUUUGAACGCACAUUGCGCCCCCUGGUAUUCCGGGGGGCAUGCCUGUCCGAGCGUCAUUGCUGCCCUCAAGCACGGCUUGUGUGUUGGGCCCCCGUCCCCGGUUUCCCCCGGGGACGGGCCCGAAAGGCAGCGGCGGCACCGCGUCCGGUCCUCGAGCGUAUGGGGCUUUGUCACCCGCUCUGUAGGCCCGGCCGGCGCCAGCCGACACCCAACUCUAUUUCUAAGGUUGACCUCGGAUCAGGUAGGGAUACCCGCUGAACUUAAGCAUAUCAAUAAGCGGAGGA
RNAcentral lists this unclassified non-coding RNA (348 nucleotides) under soil metagenome. Its description in RNAcentral is "partial contains 5.8S ribosomal RNA, internal transcribed spacer 2, and large subunit ribosomal RNA". The stretch from base 1 to 120 matches the Rfam family "5.8S ribosomal RNA", at positions 35 to 154 of the family's 154-position model. The record is from RNAcentral.